UAAAAUACCUCCAUUGGAAACCCAUGCAGACACACCUUCGACCGAUCUUCCAUUCAAGGGUGGUUGGACAUUGGCAACCGGACCUACCCAAUCACCAAACUACCCCUCCCGCAGCACCCUCGCCCAUCCCCAACCACACUCUCAGAAGCCUCAUUUCUAAUUUCACCCUCUCUUCCCCUCCAAAACUACAGUCUCAACCAAACCCCCAGACCCUAAUAUCCACUCUCACCUCAACCGGAACCCCGCCUUACACCAGAAGUUAAUAGAGACUGGUGUUGUUUCUGUUGUUCUCAAUUGUGUUGACUCCGAGGAUUCCGGUAUCCAAGAAUUGGCGCUUUCACUUCUCUUGAACCUUAGUUUGGAUGAUGACAGUAACGCGGGUUUGGUCGCCGAGGGGACCAUCGGUGCCUUCCUGUUUACAAUUAGAGGUCUUGUUUUGCUCCUUUGGGAUGGCAACGGGAGGGGGAAGAAAGAAGCAGCGAUGACUCUUUACGCCCUAUGUUCCUUCCCUAAUAACAACAGGAGAUCUGUUGAAUGUGGGUCGGUGCCAAUUUUGAUUGAAAUGGCCAGUUCUUUGUUGAAAGGGAUGUUGAGGUUCUAAGCUUGUUGGCCAAGUGUAGAGAAGGGAGAGAAGAAAUUGAAAAGUUUGAUGGUUCUGUCUGGAUUUUGGUCAGAGUGUUGAAUGGAUACUGAAAGCAAAGAAUGUGUUGAGAGGCUAAGAGCGAGGAUACUGAAGAAAUUUGUUUUGGAUUCCUGGAAGAAGAUGAAGUGAAGGAUAUCUUUCAUUUUGGGAUGAAGCAUUGAUGCUCUAUUCUUCUUUAUCGUCAGUAGAGGUGAGUUUGGUUCUAUUCAUUAGCCUUCCUCCAUUGGAUGGUCGUGUAAAAAAGAAAAGAGUAGAUUUUAGUGGGGUUGAGUCCUAUCUGUAUCUUGUAAAUUCUCAAUAAACAUAUCAAGUUUCUAUU
This is a non-coding RNA of Nelumbo nucifera (sacred lotus), 962 nucleotides long. NCBI's taxonomy places the organism in Eukaryota, Viridiplantae, Streptophyta, Magnoliopsida, Proteales, Nelumbonaceae. The record is from RefSeq and is a predicted model, not a curated record.